RNAcentral lists this ribosomal RNA (510 nucleotides) under uncultured bacterium. Its description in RNAcentral is "partial 16S ribosomal RNA". It matches the Rfam family "Bacterial small subunit ribosomal RNA", at positions 28 to 507 of the family's 1533-position model. The record is from RNAcentral.
GACGAACGCUGGCGGCGUGCUUAACACAUGCAAGUCGAACGAAGAGCGAUGGAAGCUUGCUUCCAUCAAUCUUAGUGGCGCACGGGUGAGUAACGCGGAAUCAACCUGCCCUUCAGAGGGGGACAACAGUGGGAAACGACUGCUAAUACCGCAUACGAUCUAAUCUCGGCAUCGAGGAUAGAUGAAAGGUGGUCUCUACACGUAUGCUAUCACUGAAGGCGGGUAUUCGAUCUGGUUAGCUAGGUGGUGGGGUAAGGGCCUAACAAAGCGAUGAUCCGUAGCCGGUCUGGAAGGGUGAACCGCCACAUUGGGACUGAGACAAGGCCCAGACCUCUAAGGGGGGCAGCCGUGGGGGAUCUUCCGCAAUGGGCGAAAGUCUGACGGGACAACGCCGCGUGGGUGAUGAAGGCCUUCGGGUUGUAAAACUCUGUUAAUCGGGAAGGAAGGCAUUCUUGCGAAUAGUGGCACGGAUUGACGGUACCGGAACAGAAAGCCACGGCUAACUACGUG